UACGAAGGGGGCUAGCGUUGUUCGGAAUUACUGGGCGUAAAGCGCGCGUAGGCGGACAUUUAAGUCAGGGGUGAAAUGCCGGGGCUCAACCUCGGAACUGCCUUUGAUACUGGAAAGCUUGAGUUCGGGAGAGGUGAGUGGAACUGCGAGUGUAGAGGUGAAAUUCGUAGAUAUUCGCAAGAACACCGGUGGCGAAGGCGGG
Molecule: ribosomal RNA, 202 nt
Filed under: uncultured bacterium
Lineage: Bacteria
Description: partial 16S ribosomal RNA
Rfam family: Bacterial small subunit ribosomal RNA
Source: RNAcentral